Molecule: ribosomal RNA, 454 nt
Filed under: uncultured bacterium
Lineage: Bacteria
Description: bacterial SSU rRNA
Rfam family: Bacterial small subunit ribosomal RNA
Source: RNAcentral
AGAGUUUGAUCCUGGCUCAGAUUGAACGCUGGCGGCAUGCCUUACACAUGCAAGUCGAACGGCAGCACGGGAGCAAUCCUGGUGGCGAGUGGCGAACGGGUGAGUAAUAUAUCGGAACGUGCCCAGUCGUGGGGGAUAACGCAGCGAAAGCUGUGCUAAUACCGCAUACGAUCUCUGGAUGAAGGCGGGGGACUCGCAAGGGCCUCGCGCGAUUGGAGCGGCCGAUAUCAGAUUAGCUAGUUGGUGGGGUAAAAGCCCACCAAGGCGACGAUCUGUAGCUGGUCUGAGAGGACGACCAGCCACACUGGAACUGAGACACGGUCCAGACUCCUACGGGAGGCAGCAGUGGGGAAUUUUGGACAAUGGGCGCAAGCCUGAUCCAGCAAUGCCGCGUGCAGGAUGAAGGCCUUCGGGUUGUAAACUGCUUUUGUACGGAACGAAACGGCGAGCUCUA